UACAGAGGGGGCAAGCGUUAUUCGGAAUUAUUGGGCGUAAAGGGCGCGUAGGCGGCCAUUCAAGUGACGGGUGAAAGCCCUCGGCUUAACCGAGGAACUGCCUGUCAGACUGGAUGGCUUGAGACCGGGAGAGGUGAGUGGAAUUCCCAGUGUAGCGGUGAAAUGCGUAGAUAUCAGGAGGAACACCAAUUGCGAAGGCAGCUCGCUGGGACGUUACUGACGCUGAGACGAAGAAGCGUGGGGAGCAAACAGG
This 253-nucleotide ribosomal RNA is filed under the name uncultured bacterium. RNAcentral's name for it is "partial 16S ribosomal RNA". It matches the Rfam family "Bacterial small subunit ribosomal RNA", at positions 524 to 776 of the family's 1533-position model. The record is from RNAcentral.